GAUGACGCUAGCGAAGGCCUAACACACGCAAGUCGAGGGGCAGCGGGGGUAGCAAUAUCUGCCGGCGACCGGCGCACGGGCGCGUAACGCGUAUGUAACCUGCCCGCAACAGGGGUACAGCUCUCCGAAAGGGGGAUUAAUACCGCAUAAUACUUUUAAUCCGCAUGGUUUAGAAGUCAAACAUUUAUGGGUUGCGGAUGGACAUGCGUGACAUUAGCUAGAUGGCGGGGUAGCAGCCCACCAUGGCAACGAUGUUUAGGGGUUCUGAGAGGAAGGUCCCCCACACCGGAACUGAGACACGGUCCGGACUCCUACGGGAGGCAGCAGUGAGGAAUAUUGGUCAAUGGGCGAGAGCCUGAACCAGCCAAGUCGCGUGCGGGAUGACGGCCCUAUGGGUCUUAAACCGCUUUUUCAGGGGAAGAAUGUUAUCUAUGUAUAGGUAAGUGCCGGUACCCUGCGAAUAAGCAUCGGCUAACUCCGUGCCAGCAGCCGCGGUAAUACGGAGGAUGCGAGCGUUAUCCGGAUUUAUUGGGUUUAAAGGGUGCGUAGGCGGGAUAAUAAGUCAGGGGUGAAAUAUUUCAGCUUAACUGAGAUACUGCCUUUGAUACUGUUAUUCUUGAGAGAAGACGAGGUAUGCGGAAUGUGGUAUGUAGCGGUGAAAUGCAUAGAUAUACCACAGAACACCGAUUGCGCAGGCAGCAUGCCAGACUUUAUCUGACGCUGAAGCACGAAAGCGCGGGUAUCAAACAGGAUUAGAUACCCUGGUAGUCCGCGCUGUAAACGAUGAUUACUGGUUGUUUCGGUUUAAAUACUGGAGUAACGAGCGAA
This 828-nucleotide ribosomal RNA is filed under the name uncultured bacterium. RNAcentral describes it as "bacterial SSU rRNA". It matches the Rfam family "Bacterial small subunit ribosomal RNA", at positions 28 to 855 of the family's 1533-position model. The record is from RNAcentral.